GAUGAAGAACGCAGCGAAAUGCGAUACGUAAUGUGAAUUGCAGAAUUCAGUGAAUCAUCGAAUCUUUGAACGCAUAUUGCGCUCUCUGGUAUUCCGGAGAGCAUGCUUGUUUGAGUAUCAGUAAACACCUCAACUCCCUUUUCUUUUUUGAAAUUGGAGCUGGACUUGAGUGAUCCCAACGCUUUCUUCCAAGAAAGUGGCGGGUUGCUUGAAAUGCAGGUGCAGUUGAACUUUUCUCUGAGCUAUAAGCAUAUCUAUUUAGUCUGCCUAAAAAACAGAUUAUUACCUUUGCUGCAGCUAACAUAAAGGAGACUAGUUCUUGUGCUGACUGAUGCAGGAUUCACAGAGACAGCUUCGGCUGACUUUGUAAACUCGAUCUCAAAUCAAGUAAGACUACCCGCUGAACUUAAGCAUAUCAAUAAGCGGAGGA
Molecule: unclassified non-coding RNA, 430 nt
Filed under: soil metagenome
Description: partial contains 5.8S ribosomal RNA, internal transcribed spacer 2, and large subunit ribosomal RNA
Rfam family: 5.8S ribosomal RNA (bases 1-120)
Source: RNAcentral